RNAcentral lists this ribosomal RNA (324 nucleotides) under uncultured bacterium. RNAcentral's name for it is "bacterial SSU rRNA". It matches the Rfam family "Bacterial small subunit ribosomal RNA", at positions 28 to 334 of the family's 1533-position model. The record is from RNAcentral.
GGCGAACGCUGGCGGCGUGCCUAAUACAUGCAAGUCGAACGAAGCGAUUUAACGGAAGUUUUCGGAUGGAAGUUGAAUUGACUGAGUGGCGGACGGGUGAGUAACGCGUGGGUAACCUGCCUUGUACUGGGGGACAACAGUUAGAAAUGACUGCUAAUACCGCAUAAGCGCACAGUAUUGCAUGAUACAGUGUGAAAAACUCCGGUGGUACAAGAUGGACCUGCGUCUGAUUAGCUAGUUGGUAAGGUAACGGCUUACCAAGGCGACGAUCAGUAGCCGACCUGAGAGGGUGACCGGCCACAUUGGGACUGAGACACGGCCCAA